CUGUGAUCACGGCAUAGUUCAGAGGUAGGUAACCUUGGGCAGUCCAGAUGCUGUGAAUUACAUCUCCCAUAAUGCUGGCAAACCAUUAUGGGAGGUGUAGUCCAAAACAUCUAGAAUACCGAAGGCGUAUGAAUGAAAAGUAUGGUGUGUGUGUGAAUGGUCAGUAACAAGGGUUGAAGCCUUGACGUGGCGUUACUACUCACAUGUGUAUUCAUGUGCCAAUUCAA
Molecule: non-coding RNA, 227 nt
Organism: Pelobates cultripes (western spadefoot toad)
Lineage: Eukaryota; Metazoa; Chordata; Amphibia; Anura; Pelobatidae
Source: the annotation of a GenBank genome assembly